RNAcentral lists this ribosomal RNA (468 nucleotides) under uncultured bacterium. RNAcentral's name for it is "partial 16S ribosomal RNA". It matches the Rfam family "Bacterial small subunit ribosomal RNA", at positions 28 to 507 of the family's 1533-position model. The record is from RNAcentral.
GACGAACGCUGGCGGCGUGCUUAACACAUGCAAGUCGAACGGAAAGGCCCUGCUUUUGUGGGGUGCUCGAGUGGCGAACGGGUGAGUAACACGUGAGUAACCUGCCCUUGACCUUGGGAUAACUUCAGGAAACUGGGGCUAAUACCGGAUAGGAGCUCCUGCUGCAUGGCGGGGGUUGGAAAGUUUCGGCGGUUGGGGAUGGACUCGGGGCUUAUCAGCUUGUUGGUGGGGUAGUGGCUUACCAAGGCUUUGACGGGUAGCCGGCCUGGGAGGGUGACCGGCCACAUUGGGACUGAGAUACGGCCCAGACUCCUACGGGAGGCAGCAGUGGGGAAUAUUGCACAAUGGGCGGAAGCCUGAUGCAGCAACGCCGCGUGCGGGAUGACGGCCUUCGGGUUGUAAACCGCUUUCGCCUGUGACGAAGCGUGAGUGACGGUAAUGGGUAAAGAAGCACCGGCUAACUACGUG